UCCAAUAGAUUUCCAGUGCGACCGGUC
Molecule: small RNA, 27 nt
Filed under: Bombyx mori (domestic silkworm)
Lineage: Eukaryota; Metazoa; Arthropoda; Insecta; Lepidoptera; Bombycidae
Description: ovarian small RNA-26571
Source: RNAcentral